RNAcentral lists this ribosomal RNA (1146 nucleotides) under Triticum aestivum (bread wheat). RNAcentral describes it as "partial small subunit ribosomal RNA". Lineage: Eukaryota; Viridiplantae; Streptophyta; Magnoliopsida; Poales; Poaceae. The record is from RNAcentral.
AUGGAUGGUGCUGCAUAUUCUUAUACAAGACAUGGGUUUAAUGUUAACAUGGAGAACUUGAGACAAGAGAGCCAAGAGGCUUGGGAGUGGCUAUGUAAGAUAGAGGUGAAAACAUGGGCUAGAUGGGCAAUGGACACUAAUUGUAAGACAGACCUGGUUGUCAACAAUUUAAGUGAAGUAUACAACAGGAUGAUCUUGGAUGUAAGGGGGAAGCCAAUCCAGAUAAUGUGUGAAGGUAUUAGGACCAAGUUGAUGGUUAAGUACAAUGAGAAAAGAAUAGGGGGCCAAAAUGCUAGGUGGGAGAUAACUCCAACAUACUCAGAGAAGUUGGAGGAGUCAAAGAAGUGGGCUAGGAACUGCAAGGCACAAAUGGCUGGUCCAGAUCUUUAUCAGGUUCAGAGUGGGGAAAAUACUUAUGCUGCAAAUUUGGCACAAAUGACUUGUGGGUGGAGAAGAUGGGACAUGACAGCAAUCCCCUUCCAUCAUGCUGUGUCUACCAUAUAUAAAUCAAAGCAUCAUCCAGAGGAUUUUGUCUCUGCAUUUUUCAAGAAAGAAAUGUACAUGGCAACAUACAAUCCUAUUAUAUUCCCAGUUCCUGGGCCUGAUUUUUGGACCAAGACACCUACCAGAGACAUUGACCCCCCAGUUUUCAAGAGGAAGAAGGGAAGAAAGCAGACCAAGAGAAGAAAUGGUCAGUUUGAGGUGCCCAAGCCCAAAGAUACAUCUAGAGUUGGCACAAUAUCAUGCAUCAAUUGUGGUAAAGAGGGUCAUAGGUACACCAACUAUGGAUAUGCACUCAAGCCAUCACUUCUGCUGAGAAAGAACAAACAUGAGCCCAAUAGGAAGAGCCAAGCAACUGCUUCUACUGCUCCAAAGCCUCCAGCUGCUCCAAAGCCCACAAGAUCUACAAGUACUUCUACUAGGAACACAAGGCAAGCAACUCCCACACCCAAGAACAAAAGGCAAUCAUCAAGUGCUGCCAGGACAAGCAGAUCAACACCCACUACAAGAGCUGCUGGUAGGGCACCUUAUGCUCCUCCAAGAGCUGUUGCAAGUCAAGCUGUUGCUGGUCCUUCACAUGGACAGAAGAGGAAGAGGAAGCCUACCAGGUGGGAUGAUUAUUUCACAGCAAGUGGAAAUCACUGA